This is an RNA transcript of Nasonia vitripennis (jewel wasp), 3675 nucleotides long. Lineage: Eukaryota; Metazoa; Arthropoda; Insecta; Hymenoptera; Pteromalidae. The record is from RefSeq and is a predicted model, not a curated record.
GGACCAAGAAUCAAGAGUGGGGGUAAAAACGAACCACUAUCUUUUCGACCAUUUAUUUGCAGUUGGUGCUCUUAGCUCUAUCUUGCAUCGUGUGUAUAGCCGUAAUCAGCGUCGUUUCAGCUUCUGCUUUCAACGUUGCAUGCGUAGAGGUUCUCUGCGCUUCAUUUUUACCCCUACUCAUUUCUGAGCUUUCCCUUGCAUCAACGUCAAUAAGGGCGUAAGGCGUACUACAUGCGUAGUAUGUGUUAUAUACCUUUAAGUCUGCGUAAUGAUACUUAACCUCUAUCAAUUUUAAGGUUAAGCUGUAUGUGCCUUGCAUAGACAUUUUGGUAGUGUCAUACAUUUUGUCUUUAAGGUGUACCUAUAAAUUUCUGUGAUUGUUUUUUACGUGCUCUGUUUCCAUCGCCAUAACGACAACAAUGUCGUACCUGUCGAGAAAGGAAAUUGAAGAGCUGAAACCACAGAUUGAACGGGCUGUCAGCAAGUUUCUGGGCUUUGCUGAAUCCUCGAUCGUUACGACUGCUCUCAACUGCAUUGCUUCAGGAUAUGACAGGCGCAAAAGUGCAGGUGCAGUUGAGAUGCAUGCACACUACCUUUUAGAGAGAAGCCCAUGUUCUGUCACUAUAGAGAAAUGGAUCUCACUUUUUAGUACCAUUGUGCGUCAUCAAACAGUGAGAAUAAACAGUCAUAUAAGACUCAAAACAGAAGUUUGCUGAUAAAUUGUCAGCUCUUCUGGAUGAAAAAAAAGCUAAAAAAGUAGCAGAGAAGAUUUUCAUUGUUUAUGAUGACAUGAAAGCAGCUCAUAAAGCAAAAAAGAGAUCUCAUGGUGAUGAUAGAGAUAAAGACAGAGAUAGGGAUUCUAAAAGAUCAAGACUUCGUGAAGAGGUUUCUAGUAAAAAUGAUAAAUCAAAUUCAGUGUCUGAUGAUAAGAUCAGUCAUGUUAUGGCAAAUGCUAGGAAAGAAAUUCAAGAAAGGGCAAAAAAUUCAAGAACUCUUAGAAUUCAACCUGAAGCUAUGGAUACAGUCAGGCCAUUAUUGAGAAAUAAAGAUUCGCUAACUACAAUGGGUCAAGUAUAUAAUCAAGGAUUUCUAAGUAAAACAGAUGCUGAAAAGGCUCAAAAAAUUGCUGCGCUGCAGGCGUCAAUUCAAAAUAAGUUAAAGUCAGUACUACCAGGAAGUACACCAACUGCAGAUAAACCUGGACCCCUGAUUCUUGAUGAAUCUGGUCGAACUGUAGACAUAACUGGGAAAGAAGUUCAUCUCACGCAAGUUUUGCCAACAUUAAAAGCCAAUAUUCGGGCUAAAAAGAGGGAAGAAUUUAAGGCACAGUUGCAAGAUAUAAAAAGCUCUGAGGACUUUCAAGAAACACACUUUUUUGAUAAUCGAAUAGGUGUUAAGCCAGCAGUUCGAGGGAAACGAGCAUUCAAGUUUCAUGAGCCUGGUAAAUUUGUGCAGAUAGCUGAAAGAAUUCGAAUGAAGGCGCAAUUGGAAAAAUUACAAAACGAGAUAAGUCAAAUCGCCAGGAAAACUGGAAUCAGUUCUGCAACUAAGUUAGCUUUGAUAGCUCCAAAAACGGAGGCGCUUAACGAAGAGGUACCAAAUGUCGAAUGGUGGGAUUCUGUAAUUCUCAAUGACGGAUAUGGCGAAGAAGAAGAUGAUAUUAACAAAUUUGUGAAAGUUUCAGCCAUCACAAACUUAGUUGAACAUCCAGCGCAAAUGAGACCACCGACUGAACCAUUGAAGCCCAUAAGCAUGCCAAUUUUUCUGACAAAAAAAGAGCGGAAGAAGUUACGUCGUCAAAAUCGAAGGGAAGCUUGGAAGGAAGAGCAAGAAAAGAUAAGAUUGGGAUUAGAACCACCACCAGAGCCCAAACUAAGGAUAUCGAAUCUUAUGCGAGUACUGGGAAAUGAAGCAGUGCAGGAUCCUACAAAAAUUGAGGCCCAUGUGCGUCAGCAGAUGGCAAAGAGACUAAAAGCACACGAGGACGCAAAUGCAGCUAGAAGACUGACAGCUGAUCAAAGGCGCGAAAAGAAGGCCAGAAAAAUUAAGGAGGAUACCUCGUUAGGGGUUCAUGUUGCUGUAUUCAGAAUCAGAGACCUUGUCAAUAAUGCGUCAAAGAAAUUUAAAGUGGAAACAAACGCAAAGCAACUAUACCUGACUGGAUGCGUGAUGUUGUUCCGAGAUUGUAAUGUUGUAGCCGUAGAAGGCGGUGCAAAGCAAAUCAGCAAGUACAAGCGACUCAUGCUUCAUCGUAUUAAAUGGGAAGAAGAUAUAGUGAAGGACACUGAGAGUAACGAUGUGCCUAACAAAUGUGUUCUCGUUUGGGAGGGCACCACAAAAUCGCGACAUUUUGGAGAUAUAAAAUUCAAGGUGUGCCCAAUAGAAAAACUUGCACGGGAGCACUUUAAAAAACACUCGUGCGAGUCUUAUUGGGACUUGGCAUACAGUGGCGCCGUAUUAGACAACACUGAUGAGGCGCAAGUCUAAGCUUUCAGAUGAAUCCAUUUUUUAUUAAGGCUUACGCUUUUUGUACAAUCAACUUGUAAAUAUAUCGUACUCAAAUGUAUAAGGUUAAGAUUUUUCAACAGCAAAACGAAAUGAUGGGGUUUCACAUUGAUAUUUAUUGCAAAUAGACGCGGUAACUUGUGUACAAUAAUUGUAUACAGAUCCAGUGAAAAACAAUUAUAGCACGACAAGAGUAAAAAAAGCCCAAUAACUGCCGGAAGGUGUCACUCUCGCGGUACCUUUCUAAUGUAGCGCCUCGCGCGCAGUCGAAAGAGGGAAUAACAUUAUCAGGCCUAUUAGAUGUGGAGGAUGGAAAGGCAAGAGCGUAUUCUUCAAGGACGUCGUUGUACAAGUGAAAUCUCUUUCUAUUGAAUUUGUGCACGUAUAAGUCGUGCAUUAUAGCAGCGCGUCGUCGGAAGAUACACUCGAUAAUGCAUGAUGAAUCGAAUCGACGAGUUCUAUUAUAAUUGCGCGUUACUGUGACGAUCAUGUUUCUCGGAGAUGAGAUGAGAUAAAUGUUUUUUUUCUCCAAAGGUUUCGUAGAAAUUAUAAUCAAUAGAUAGAAUAUUCCAGAUGAUGGGCUAUCUAAUCGCGUAUACAUAUCCGUGGCUGAUAGUCAAAAUGACAUAAGAUCACUUUUUGCAAAAAUCGAGAUAACUGUAAUAGAUAUAUAGUAAGUACAAUUUUGUGAUGGCGUCUUCAUUGCCUUGCAAUCAGCUUUGUCUAGAGUUCCCGACAUAACGACAUAUUCGAUACUUUUGUGACAUUACACUGUACACAGUGACAAAUGUAUAAUCUAGUCAUACAUAGAACUGUGUGGACUAAAGUUUAGAACUAGUUUUAAUGGCUUUUUAUUACAUUUUGAUUGUUACACCAAGGAAAAUAAAAAAAGCGCAUACGGAUUUAGAAUUUAUUAUUUUUUAAAAAUUACAUUACAUUUUAAUAAAAUGUAAGAAAUUGUAAAUAUAGUGUAAUACUUACAAACAAUUUACAAUAGCUAUUAGUUAACCACAAUCGUAAAUAUUUUCGAAAAAAGUAAGAAAGUAUAAUUACAUGUUGUAAAAUGUAAGAAAAUCUAAGAAAAAUUGAUGAAAUCAGCACUUUGCGAUAUAUAGUAAUAACAAAUAUAAGAUAAUUGUAAUAAAACGGGAAAAAGACCCGAAAAUCUUA